RNAcentral lists this ribosomal RNA (438 nucleotides) under uncultured bacterium. RNAcentral's name for it is "partial 16S ribosomal RNA". It matches the Rfam family "Bacterial small subunit ribosomal RNA", at positions 339 to 795 of the family's 1533-position model. The record is from RNAcentral.
CUACGGGACGCUGCAGUGAGGAAUAUUGCACAAUGGGGGGAACCCUGAUGCAGCAACGCCGCGUGGAGGAUGACGCAUUUCGGUGUGUAAACUCCUUUUAUAUGUCAAGAAAAUGACGGUAGCAUAUGAAUAAGCACCGGCUAACUCCGUGCCAGCAGCCGCGGUAAUACGGAGGGUGCAAGCGUUACUCGGAAUCACUGGGCGUAAAGGACGCGUAGGCGGGUUGGAAAGUCAGGUGUGAAAUCCUACAGCUUAACUGUAGAACUGCACUUGAAACUUCUAAUCUAGAGUAUGGGAGGGGAGAUGCAAUUAGUGGUGUAGGGGUAAAAUCCGUAGAUAUCACUAGGAAUACCUAAAGCGAAGGCGAUCUCCUGGAACAUUACUGACGCUAAGGCGUGAAAGCGUGGGGAGCAAACAGGAUUAGAUACCCUCGUAGUC